RNAcentral lists this ribosomal RNA (468 nucleotides) under uncultured bacterium. RNAcentral's name for it is "partial 16S ribosomal RNA". It matches the Rfam family "Bacterial small subunit ribosomal RNA", at positions 28 to 507 of the family's 1533-position model. The record is from RNAcentral.
GACGAACGCUGGCGGCGUGCUUAACACAUGCAAGUCGAACGGAAAGGCCCUGCUUUUGUGGGGUGCUCGAGUGGCGAACGGGUGAGUAACACGUGAGUAACCUGCCCUUGACUUUGGGAUAACUUCAGGAAACUGGGGCUAAUACCGGAUAGGAGCUCCUGCUGCAUGGUGGGGGUUGGAAAGUUUGGGCGGUUGGGGAUGGACUCGCGGCUUAUCAGCUUGUUGGUGGGGUAGUGGCUUACCAAGGCUUUGACGGGUAGCCGGCCUGCGAGGGUGACCGGCCACAUUGGUACUGAGAUACGGCCCAGACUCCUACGGGAGGCAGCAGUGGGGAAUAUUGCACAAUGGGCGGAAGCCUGAUGCAGAAACGCCGCGUGCGGGAUGACGGCCUACGGGUGGUAAACCGCUUUCGCCGGUGACGAAGCGUGAGUGACGGUAAUGAGUAAAGAAGCACCGGCUAACUACGUG